RNAcentral lists this ribosomal RNA (740 nucleotides) under Brachybacterium paraconglomeratum. RNAcentral describes it as "bacterial SSU rRNA". The record is from RNAcentral. Lineage: Bacteria; Bacillati; Actinomycetota; Actinomycetes; Micrococcales; Dermabacteraceae.
ACGAUGACGGUGGUGCUUGCACCGCCUGAUUAGUGGCGAACGGGUGAGUAACACGUGAGUAACCUGCCCUCCACUUCGGGAUAACCUCGGGAAAUCGUGGCUAAUACCGGAUAUGAGCACUCAUCGCAUGGUGGGUGYUGGAAAGAUUWAUCGGUGGGGGAUGGACUCGCGGCCUAUCAGUUUGUUGGUGAGGUGAUGGCUCACCAAGACGAUGACGGGUAGCCGGCCUGAGAGGGCGACCGGCCACACUGGGACUGAGACACGGCCCAGACUCCUACGGGAGGCAGCAGUGGGGAAUAUUGCACAAUGGGCGAAAGCCUGAUGCAGCGACGCCGCGUGGGGGAUGACGGCCUUCGGGUUGUAAACCCCUUUCAGUAGGGAAGAAGCGAGAGUGACGGUACCUGCAGAAGAAGCGCCGGCUAACUACGUGCCAGCAGCCGCGGUAAUACRUAGGGCGCAAGCGUUGUCCGGAAUUAUUGGGCGUAAAGAGCUUGUAGGUGGCUUGUCGCGUCUGCCGUGAAAACCCGAGGCUCAACCUCGGGCGUGCGGUGGGUACGGGCAGGCUAGAGUGUGGUAGGGGAGACUGGAACUCCUGGUGUAGCGGUGAAAUGCGCAGAUAUCAGGAAGAACACCGAUGGCGAAGGCAGGUCUCUGGGCCAUUACUGACACUGAGAAGCGAAAGCAUGGGUAGCGAACAGGAUUAGAUACCCUGGUAGUCCAUGCCGUAAACGUUGGGCACU